RNAcentral lists this ribosomal RNA (468 nucleotides) under uncultured bacterium. RNAcentral describes it as "partial 16S ribosomal RNA". It matches the Rfam family "Bacterial small subunit ribosomal RNA", at positions 28 to 507 of the family's 1533-position model. The record is from RNAcentral.
GACGAACGCUGGCGGCGUGCUUAACACAUGCAAGUCGAACGGAAAGGCCCUGCGUUUGUGGGGUGCUCGAGUGGCGAACGGGUGAGUAACACGUGAGUAACCUGCCCUUGACUUUGGGAUAACUUCAAGAAACUGGGGCUAAUACCGGAUAGGAGCUCCUGCUGCAUGGUGGGGGUUGGAAAGUUUCGGCGGUUGGGGAUGGACUCGCGGCUUAUCAGCUUGUUGGUGGGGUAGUGGAUGACCAAGGCUUUGACGGCUAGCCGGCCUGAGAGGGUGACCGGCCACAUGGGGACUGAGAGACGGCCCAGACGCCUACGGGAGGCAGCAGUGGGGAAUAUUGCACAAUGGGCGGAAGCCUGAUGCAGCAACGCCGCGUGCGGAAUGACGGCCUUCGGGUUGUAAACCGCUUUCGACGGUGACGAAGCGUGAGUGACGGUAAUGGGUAAAGAAGCACCGGCUAACUACGUG